Molecule: ribosomal RNA, 1412 nt
Filed under: Leptolyngbya boryana
Lineage: Bacteria; Bacillati; Cyanobacteriota; Cyanophyceae; Leptolyngbyales; Leptolyngbyaceae
Also listed under: 2 other names
Description: bacterial SSU rRNA
Rfam family: Bacterial small subunit ribosomal RNA
Source: RNAcentral
GAUGAACGCUGGCGGUAUGCUUAACACAUGCAAGUCGAACGGUCUCUUCGGAGAUAGUGGCGGACGGGUGAGUAACGCGUGAGAACAUGCCUUUAGAUUGGGGACAACAGUUGGAAACGACUGCUAAUACCGAAUGUGCCUUAGGGUGAAAGAUUUAUUGUCUAGAGAUUGGCUCGCGUCAGAUUAGCUAGUUGGAGUGGUAACGGCACACCAAGGCGACGAUCUGUACUUGGUCUGAGAGGAUGACCAGGCACACUGGAACUGAGACACGGUCCAGACUCCUACGGGAGGCAGCAGUGGGGAAUUUUCCGCAAUGGGCGAAAGCCUGACGGAGCAAUACCGCGUGAGGGAGGACGGCUUUUGGGUUGUAAACCUCUUUUAUCAGGGAAGAAUCGAUGACGGUACCUGAUGAAUCAGCAUCGGCUAACUCCGUGCCAGCAGCCGCGGUAAUACGGAGGAUGCAAGCGUUAUCCGGAAUUAUUGGGCGUAAAGCGUCCGUAGGUGGUUUAUCAAGUCUGCUGUCAAAGCGUGCGGCUUAACCGCAUAAGGGCAGUGGAAACUGAUGAACUAGAGUGCGAUAGGGGUAACAGGAAUUCCCAGUGUAGCGGUGAAAUGCGUAGAUAUUGGGAAGAACACCAGCGGCGAAAGCGUGUUACUGGGUCUGCACUGACACUGAGGGACGAAAGCUAGGGGAGCGAAAGGGAUUAGAUACCCCUGUAGUCCUAGCCGUAAACGAUGACAACUAGGCGUGGUUCGUAUCGACCCGAGCCGUGCCGUAGCCAACGCGUUAAGUUGUCCGCCUGGGGAGUACGCACGCAAGUGUGAAACUCAAAGGAAUUGACGGGGGCCCGCACAAGCGGUGGAGUAUGUGGUUUAAUUCGAUGCAACGCGAAGAACCUUACCAAGGCUUGACAUCCUCGGAACCCUGAUGAAAGUUAGGGGUGCCUUCGGGAGCCGAGAGACAGGUGGUGCAUGGCUGUCGUCAGCUCGUGUCGUGAGAUGUUGGGUUAAGUCCCGCAACGAGCGCAACCCACGUUUUUAGUUGCCAGCAUUCAGUUGGGCACUCUAGAGAGACUGCCGGUGACAAACCGGAGGAAGGUGUGGAUGACGUCAAGUCAGCAUGCCCCAUACGCCUUGGGCUACACACGUACUACAAUGCGUCGGACAAAGAGCAGCCAGCCAGCGAUGGUGAGCCAAUCUCAUAAACCGGCGCUCAGUUCAGAUUGCAGGCUGCAACUCGCCUGCAUGAAGGCGGAAUCGCUAGUAAUCGCAGGUCAGCAUACUGCGGUGAAUACGUUCCCGGGCCUUGUACACACCGCCCGUCACACCAUGGGAGUUGGUCACGCCCGAAGUCGUUACUCUAACUGCUUGCAGAGGAGGACGCCGAAGGUGGGGCUGAUGACUGGGGUGAA